UACGUAGGUGGCAAGCGUUAUCCGGAUUUACUGGGUGUGAAGGGCGUGUAGGCGGGAAAGCAAGUCAGAUGUGAAAACCAUGGGCUCAACCUGUGGCCUGCAUUUGAAACUGUUUUUCUUGAGUACUGGAGAGGCAGACGGAAUUCCUAGUGUAGCGGUGAAAUGCGUAGAUAUUAGGAGGAACACCAGUGGCGAAGGCGGUCUGCUGGACAGCAACUGACGCUGAGGCGCGAAAGCGUGGGGAGCAAACAGG
RNAcentral lists this ribosomal RNA (253 nucleotides) under uncultured bacterium. RNAcentral describes it as "partial 16S ribosomal RNA". It matches the Rfam family "Bacterial small subunit ribosomal RNA", at positions 524 to 776 of the family's 1533-position model. The record is from RNAcentral.